RNAcentral lists this transfer RNA (85 nucleotides) under Bacteroidota bacterium. RNAcentral describes it as "tRNA-Ser". It matches the Rfam family "tRNA". From Rfam's summary of the family: Transfer RNA (tRNA) molecules are approximately 80 nucleotides in length. Their secondary structure includes four short double-helical elements and three loops (D, anti-codon, and T loops). Lineage: Bacteria; Pseudomonadati; Bacteroidota. The record is from RNAcentral.
GGAGAGAUGGUAGAGUCGUCGAUUACAACGGUCUUGAAAACCGUCGUACCGAGAGGUACCGGGGGUUCGAAUCCCUCUCUCUCCG